AGAGUUUGAUCCUGGCUCAGAACGAACGCUGGCGGCGUGCUUAACACAUGCAAGUCGAGUGCGCGUCUGUAGCAAUACAGAUGGCGCACGGCGCACGGGUGCGUAACACGUGGGUAAUCUGCCCUCUGAUGGGGAAUAACUCGCCGAAAGGCGAGCUAAUUCCGCAUAAUAUUCCGAGAACUUAGGUUUUUGGACUGAAAGGCGUAAGUCGUCGGGGGAGGAGCCCGCGCACGAUUAGCUAGUUGGUAGGGUAAUGGCCUACCAAGGCUUUGAUCGUUAGCUGGUCUGAGAGGAUGGCCAGCCACACUGGAACUGAGACACGGUCCAGACUCCUACGGGAGGCAGCAGUGGGGAAUCUUGCACAAUGGGCGAAAGCCUGAUGCAGCGACGCCGCGUGGGGGAUGAAGCUUUUCGGAGUGUAAACCCCUUUCGAUCCGGACGAAUGCCUCGCAAGAGGAGUGACGGUACGGAUAUAAGAAGCCCCGGCUAACUACGUGCCAGCAGCCGCGGUAAU
RNAcentral lists this ribosomal RNA (514 nucleotides) under uncultured soil bacterium. Its description in RNAcentral is "bacterial SSU rRNA". It matches the Rfam family "Bacterial small subunit ribosomal RNA", at positions 8 to 524 of the family's 1533-position model. The record is from RNAcentral.